CGCCGCAGCGGGUCAGGACCGGAAGG
Molecule: non-coding RNA, 26 nt
Filed under: Alexandrium minutum
Lineage: Eukaryota; Dinophyceae; Gonyaulacales; Pyrocystaceae
Source: RNAcentral